UAGGGAAUCUUCGGCAAUGGACGAAAGUCUGACCGAGCAACGCCGCGUGAGUGAAGAAGGUUUUCGGAUCGUAAAACUCUGUUGUUAGAGAAGAACAAGGACGUUAGUAACUGAACGUCCCCUGACGGUAUCUAACCAGAAAGCCACGGCUAACUACGUGCCAGCAGCCGCGGUAAUACGUAGGUGGCAAGCGUUGUCCGGAUUUAUUGGGCGUAAAGCGAGCGCAGGCGGUUUCUUAAGUCUGAUGUGAAAGCCCCCGGCUCAACCGGGGAGGGUCAUUGGAAACUGGAAGACUUGAGUGCAGAAGGGGUGACUUGAAUUCCAUAUGUAGCGGUGAAAUGCGUCGUUAUAUGGAGAAACACCAGUGGCGAAGGCGGCUCUCUGGUCUGUAACUAACGCUGAGGCUCGAAAACGUGGGGGGCAAACAGG
RNAcentral lists this ribosomal RNA (429 nucleotides) under Gemmatimonadota bacterium. Its description in RNAcentral is "Gemmatimonadetes bacterium partial 16S ribosomal RNA". It matches the Rfam family "Bacterial small subunit ribosomal RNA", at positions 355 to 776 of the family's 1533-position model. Lineage: Bacteria; Pseudomonadati; Gemmatimonadota. The record is from RNAcentral.